GCCUGAGAUGCCGAGUCCGACGCCAACGCUACAGUCUCGUACCGGUCCGCCGCUUCGCGUGAAGACGUGUUCCGGCGCCCGGCGGCGUGACGCCGAGCGAACGGCGACGCGACACAUACAGCUCGACCGACCUGGUCCUUGGAGCUAAUCCUUCUUCCGAAGGUACGGAUCCAUUUCGCCGACUUCCCUUACCUACAUUGGCGCUAUCGACAAGAGGCUGUACACUUUGGAGACCUGCUGCGGAUGAGUACGACCCGGC
This is a long non-coding RNA of Octopus sinensis (East Asian common octopus), 259 nucleotides long. RefSeq lists it as uncharacterized. NCBI's taxonomy places the organism in Eukaryota, Metazoa, Mollusca, Cephalopoda, Octopoda, Octopodidae. The record is from RefSeq and is a predicted model, not a curated record. The transcript is spliced from 3 exons.